GCAGCCAUCAUUCACCUUCAUCUGCAGCACUUUGCCAGAGCAACAGAUUGCAGAUACAUGGACUUCUCUACCUGCAGGCUAUGCACACUAGUACAGCGGUGUGAUAAGAGCUUCUCCGUGCCCUUCUCUCAAGUGUCCCUGAUGUUAGGAGCUUCGGAAUGCUUGAAUGACUCAUCACUGUGCAUAUUGAAAGGAGCAGAGCUCAAAGAAGAGCCAUUGGAUUCCUGUGGCACAGUUAUGAAGGGAGAAGUUGGAAGAAGAUUGAACACAGUUUAGCUACAGCCUGACUCCAUGUCGGGAGGAGAGCAGAG
RNAcentral lists this long non-coding RNA (311 nucleotides) under Numida meleagris (helmeted guineafowl). RNAcentral's name for it is "lncRNA (ENSNMEG00000008226.1)". Lineage: Eukaryota; Metazoa; Chordata; Aves; Galliformes; Numididae. The record is from RNAcentral.